UUUAACACAAUUAGUGUCACAUGUUUUGAGUCAAUCUAAUUAGAGCAGUCGGCAAACAAAGGCGUCAAGAAGUGCUUCGUGUUUUGAACGAAAAAUCCAAGCUAAAAUUGUUUUCAACAGGUAAAAAUUACUUAACUAAAAAGUUUGUUUUAGCACAACCAUAAAAACAAAUCAUAGUUUUCGAGGUUGAAAAUUUUACGCUGCAUUCGAAAAAUGGGGAAAACAGAGACUUACUUGUAAAAGACAACAUUUUUAAUUUCAAUUGUGUAUUACAAGUGUUAAAGAGGUUAGCACUAUUAGUAGUAAUAAUAAAAUUUCUCUGAAUAGUCAAUAUAUUAAUAGAAGGAAAACUUAUGUAGUUUAUAUUUAUUGUUAUACUCUUAUCUAAAGUACCGCAUUGUAAUUUAAGAACAAUAUUUACAAAAAGAUAAAACUGUUGUUUUGAAAUGAAAUGUGAGUAGGUAUUUCUUAAUUAAAAAUUGAAAUUUAAUUUAAAAUAGAAAAAAGAAAACAACGAUCGGUUUGCAGGUAAUUAAACGAGGGUUUCUACCAACACACUUUUUCAAAUACAUUUAGUUACAUACUUCUAUUCAGGGAAAUGACAAAAGUCCGGUUAUGGAAUCUGGGAGUUUUAAACUUGGGUUAUCGAUUCAUUCUGGUGAAUUUAUUUUUAAUAUAAUGGCCUGCAAGUGGCUCAAAAUACAUUAUUUUCGCAGUCAUUUCUAAGCUAUUUGGCACAUUUAUAAUAAACUAGGAAGAAAAAAUAAUGGUUCUUCCUCAAAAAUCUUCAGUUUUUGCCAAAAUAAAACGAUUUGGUAAAUUCGUCUCUGAUAUGACUUUUUUUAGCCAGCAACUGUGAACAAAAACAUUGCCUACGUCUUCUUAAUUAAAAAACAAAUUUGCUCUCUGAGUGCCUAAAUUAAAACUCCCUGAGAAAGUA
Tribolium castaneum (red flour beetle) is the source of this 940-nucleotide long non-coding RNA. RefSeq lists it as uncharacterized. The transcript is spliced from 2 exons. Lineage: Eukaryota; Metazoa; Arthropoda; Insecta; Coleoptera; Tenebrionidae. The record is from RefSeq and is a predicted model, not a curated record.